This 247-nucleotide ribosomal RNA is filed under the name uncultured bacterium. Its description in RNAcentral is "partial 16S ribosomal RNA". It matches the Rfam family "Bacterial small subunit ribosomal RNA", at positions 523 to 769 of the family's 1533-position model. The record is from RNAcentral.
ACACGUAAGGGGCGAGCGUUGUUCGGAAUUAUUGGGCGUAAAGGGCGCGUAGGCGGUUCUGCAAGCCCGGCGUGAAAAUCUGGAGCUUAACUCCGGAACUGCGUUGGGAACUGCGGGACUAGAGUCAUAGAAGGGGAGUUGGAAUUCCAGGUGUAGGGGUGAAAUCUGUAGAUAUCUGGAAGAACACCGGUGGCGAAGGCGAACUCCUGGCUGAUGACUGACGCUGAGGCGCGAAAGCGUGGGUAGC